UACGGAGGAUGCGAGCGUUAUCCGGAUUUAUUGGGUUUAAGGGGUACGUAGGCGGGCUGUUAAGUCAGCGGUCAAAUGUCGGGGCUCAACCCCGGCCUGCCGUUGAAACUGGCGGCCUCGAGUGGGCGAGAAGUAUGCGGAAUGCGUGGUGUAGCGGUGAAAUGCAUAGAUAUCACGCAGAACUCCGAUUGCGAAGGCAGCAUACCGGCGCCCGACUGACGCUGAGGCACGAAAGCGUGGGGGGCAAAUAG
Molecule: ribosomal RNA, 251 nt
Filed under: uncultured bacterium
Lineage: Bacteria
Description: partial 16S ribosomal RNA
Rfam family: Bacterial small subunit ribosomal RNA
Source: RNAcentral